UGUGUCUGCUCCGUCGCCGAUCUCGCCUCCGCCGCGAAUCCCCCCAAGCCGCGAGCAGAUUCGCGCCGGUCUCGCGACGAUUUUUGAUGAGAUAAGCCCCCGGCCACCUCGGGGUUCGCCAUGCUGCGGAAGGCGGCCGUCGGGUUCCUCGCCUGCCUCGUGCUCUACCUCGCCUUCUCCUCCUACCUCCGUAGCCAGAGGGCUGCAUAUGUUCAGUUUCCAGCAGUUACUCACAGGGUAUACCUGGACGUGGAAAUUGAUGGCCAAAAUAUAGGUAGAAUUGUCAUUGGUCUUUAUGGGGAAGUGGUGCCAAAAACAGUUGAAAAUUUUAGAGCCCUUUGUACAGGUGAAAAGGGCGAUGGGCCCAAGGGUAAACCUCUUCACUAUAAAGGAACACCAUUUCAUCGAAUCAUCCCAGGUUUCAUGAUUCAGGGUGGUGACAUAGUUAGAGGUGAUGGGAAAGCAAGCGAAUCUAUAUAUGGAGGCACCUUCCCAGAUGAGAAUUUCAGUGUGAAGCAUACACAUCCAGGUGUUGUUGCUAUGGCAAAUUCUGGAACUGAUUCCAAUGGAUCCCAGUUCUACAUAACCACAAUCAAGACAGGCUGGUUGGAUGGGGAGCAUGUAGUCUUUGGCAGGGUGAUUCAGGGAAUGGAUUAUGUCUACGCCAUUGAAGGGGGCGCAGGCACUUACAACGGCAAGCCGAGGAAGAAGGUGCUGAUCACUGACUCUGGUGAGAUACCCAGGGAGAAAUGGGGCGAGGAAGCAGACUGAGUCAUAGCCUAGUGGUUGAAAGGGGUUGAUGUCUUCCCACCCACCCAUGUUCAAGGCAUGCACGCAAGAAGCGGCAGAGAUAGCACCCCCAGCAAGCUGAAAGGAACUACCAACAGGAAAUAAAAACAGCCAUGUUUUACAAGGGAGCAUACGUCCCAGCAAAGGCCAAAGAAAACUAAUGAUCACACGAGGAGCACUAUGGGGAUAACGCAGCUACAGCUACGGGUAAAUUCAAGCACUGCAGUAGAGAAGCUAAUGGUGUUGCUCAUGAGCUAGCUAAGCAUAGUUAUUUGAAUAAAACUUCUAGUUCGUGGUCUGAUGAUCCUACGGACUGGAUGAUUCCAUGUUUGACAAAUGAUGUAAUUAUCAUUUGAUUUAAUAAAGCUAGGCAA
This is an RNA transcript of Triticum dicoccoides, 1163 nucleotides long. It is a transcript of the gene named peptidyl-prolyl cis-trans isomerase CYP21-1-like, with no coding region annotated. The record is from RefSeq and is a predicted model, not a curated record. Lineage: Eukaryota; Viridiplantae; Streptophyta; Magnoliopsida; Poales; Poaceae. The transcript is spliced from 8 exons.